This 497-nucleotide ribosomal RNA is filed under the name uncultured bacterium. Its description in RNAcentral is "partial 16S ribosomal RNA". It matches the Rfam family "Bacterial small subunit ribosomal RNA", at positions 28 to 507 of the family's 1533-position model. The record is from RNAcentral.
GAUGAACGCUGGCGGCGUGCCUAAUACAUGCAAGUCGAGCGAACAGACGAGGAGCUUGCUCCUCUGACGUUAGCGGCGGACGGGUGAGUAACACGUGGAUAACCUACCUAUAAGACUGGGAUAACUUCGGGAAACCGGAGCUAAUACCGGAUAAUAUAUUGAACCGCAUGGUUCAAUAGUGAAAGACGGUUUUGCUGUCACUUAUAGCUGGAUCCGCGCCGCAUUAGCUAGUUGGUAAGGUAACGGCUUACCAAGGCAACGAUGCGUAGCCGACCUGAGAGGGUGAUCGGCCACACUGGAACUGAGACACGGUCCAGACUCCUACGGGAGGCAGCAGUAGGGAAUCUUCCGCAAUGGGCGAAAGCCUGACGGAGCAACGCCGCGUGAGUGAUGAAGGUCUUCGGAUCGUAAAACUCUGUUAGUAGGGAAGAACAAAUGUGUAAGUAACUAUGCACGUCUUGACGGUACCUAAUCAGAAAGCCACGGCUAACUACGUG